Molecule: long non-coding RNA, 1111 nt
Filed under: Homo sapiens (human)
Lineage: Eukaryota; Metazoa; Chordata; Mammalia; Primates; Hominidae
Description: long non-coding RNA NONHSAT175006.1
Source: RNAcentral
GGAGGAGCCGUCCCCCCAGCUCCCAGCCGACCGUUUCUCCCCCGAGUUUGUGGACUUCACUGCUCAGUGCCUGAGGAAGAACCCCGCAGAGCGUAUGAGCUACCUGGAGCUGAUGGUGACACCCCUUCUUCACCUUGCACAAAACCAAGAAGACGGACAUUGCUGCCUUCGUGAAGGAGAUCCUGGGAGAAGACUCAUAGGGGCUGGGCCUCGGACCCCACUCCGGCCCUCCAGAGCCCCACAGCCCCAUCUGCGGGGGCAGUGCUCACCCACACCAUAAGCUACUGCCAUCCUGGCCCAGGGCAUCUGGGAGGAACCGAGGGGGCUGCUCCCACCUGGCUCUGUGGCGAGCCAUUUGUCCCAAGUGCCAAAGAAGCAGACCAUUGGGGCUCCCAGCCAGGCCCUUGUCGGCCCCACCAGUGCCUCUCCCUGCUGCUCCUAGGACCCGUCUCCAGCUGCUGAGAUCCUGGACUGAGGGGGCCUGGAUGCCCCCUGUGGAUGCUGCUGCCCCUGCACAGCAGGCUGCCAGUGCCUGGGUGGAUGGGCCACCGCCUUGCCCAGCCUGGAUGCCAUCCAAGUUGUAUAUUUUUUUAAUCUCUCGACUGAAUGGACUUUGCACACUUUGGCCCAGGGUGGCCACACCUCUAUCCCGGCUUUGGUGCGGGGUACACAAGAGGGGAUGAGUUGUGUGAAUACCCCAAGACUCCCAUGAGGGAGAUGCCAUGAGCCGCCCAAGGCCUUCCCCUGGCACUGGCAAACAGGGCCUCUGCGGAGCACACUGGCUCACCCAGUCCUGCCCGCCACCGUUAUCGGUGUCAUUCACCUUUCGUGUUUUUUUUAAUUUAUCCUCUGUUGAUUUUUUCUUUUGCUUUAUGGGUUUGGCUUGUUUUUCUUGCAUGGUUUGGAGCUGAUCGCUUCUCCCCCACCCCCUAGGGUACCAGCAGGCAGAGCCUUGCCCUCUGCUCAGGCUGGGGUCCAGUGGGAGGGGCCCAAGAUCUCUGCUCAGAGAAGUGCAGGGGGAGCCUUCCAGCUCACUCUCCCUGAGGACUGGCUUGACAGGGGCUAUGGGUUUGCUUUGGUGUUGUUUUUAAAAAAAGAAAAUAUAUUUUUU